UGCCGGGUCGUCUAACGGUAGGACACACGCCUCUGGAGCGUGGUAUCGGGGUUCGAGUCCCUGCCCGGCAGCCA
RNAcentral lists this transfer RNA (74 nucleotides) under bacterium. RNAcentral's name for it is "tRNA-Gln". It matches the Rfam family "tRNA". Rfam says of the family: Transfer RNA (tRNA) molecules are approximately 80 nucleotides in length. Their secondary structure includes four short double-helical elements and three loops (D, anti-codon, and T loops). The record is from RNAcentral.